AACAAGAGGAACAUGAAUUAGGUUACUUACAUUAUGACUGACGACACCUCUGGUAAAAUGUACGUUUUCAGCAGUACACGACAGCUCAGCGACACAAUGGUUGUACCUGGUGCAUAGUACCUCUGACUUUAUUCUGUCUGCUUCUCUUCAUCUCUGUGUGUCUCAAUCUCACCCUCUGCAUUCUGAGACACAGGGACACCAGACACAAAGCAGACAAUGAGGAGUUUCUCAACCAACAGCAUUAUCCAAGAGAGAGAUUGGAGGAGGAAGAGGAGGAAGAGGAGAAUCAGCAGCAGGAGAAUCCCAUCUAUGGAAACAUCACUAUAGACUUGUGCUAUGAAUCCAUGACCAAUCAACGUUCCAGAAAUGACAGAAAGCCUGCGCCCCAGCCCCAACAACAACCUGACCUGAACUAUGCUUCUCUUGACCUGAACGUGGGACAGAUACCCAAGAAGAGGAAGCGUCGCUACCAGCAGGCCCAGGCCCAGGCCCAGGCCCUGCCCGAGUCCCAGAUGGGUGGGGGUUUCCUGGAAAUAGAUGCGGAAAUGGAGGCCUCCCUCCCCUCACGGAGUAGCAGCCCUCUGGCUUCUAGAAACAGCAUCUAUCUCAACAGUCUACAGAUGGCACUACAGACAGAGGAGAGGGAAUAAGAGAGAGUCAAGGGGAGGGAGAUGGAGGAGGAUAGAGAUUGGGAUGGAGACAGGAAGUGAGGAGAGGGGGAGAAAGAAACAGUAGGUUGUGAUGGAGGGAUGGAGACAGGAAGUGGGAGAGGGGCAGAAAGAUACAGUAGGUUGUGAUGGAGGGAUUGAGACAGGAAGUAACAUGUGACUGGGGUUAGAGGUUAGGGAGGAAGACCAACGGUCCUAAAUGUGAACUCAAGAACUCAAUUAGGCAGAGAGAGCGAGAAAGAGAGGGAGGGAGAGAGACAAAGAGAAUGAGAGAGAGAGAGAGAACUUGUGUUUAUUUUUUUAUUUUUUGUAUUUAACCUUUAUUUAACUAGGCAAGUACAGGUAGACAAACAUAUUAACCUACUUUAACCUCUAGCCAAUAUGUUACAAUCAGACAUUAUAGAGAAAGGGGCUCCCACUGCAUAAACUGCAGAUAUGUAUAUAUUAUUAUUAUUAUUAUUAUAUAUUUUUAUUAUUAGUAGUGUUCGUAUAUACAGUGUACAGUGCAUUCGAAGAGUAUUCAGACCCCUUGACUUUUUCCACAUUUGGUGACGUUACAGCCUUAUUCUAAAAUUAAUUUUUAAAAAACAAUUCCCCUCAUCAAUCUACAAACAAAAGCUCAUAAUCACAAAGCAUAAACAGUUUUUUAGGAUUUUUUUUUUAUACAAAUGUAUUAAAAAUAAAAAUCUGAAUAUCACAUUUACAUAAGUAUUCAGACCCUAUAAUCAGUACUUUGUUGAAGCACCUUUAGCAGCGAUUACAGCCUUGAGUCUUCUUGGUUAUGACGCUACAAGCUUGGCACACCUGUAUUUGG
This 1482-nucleotide long non-coding RNA is filed under the name Salmo salar (Atlantic salmon). Its description in RNAcentral is "lncRNA (ENSSSAG00000087700.1)". Lineage: Eukaryota; Metazoa; Chordata; Actinopteri; Salmoniformes; Salmonidae. The record is from RNAcentral.